Molecule: ribosomal RNA, 303 nt
Filed under: uncultured bacterium
Lineage: Bacteria
Description: partial 16S ribosomal RNA
Rfam family: Bacterial small subunit ribosomal RNA
Source: RNAcentral
AGCAGUAGCCGCGGUAAUACGAAGGGGGCUAGCGUUGCUCGGAAUGACUGGGCGUAAAGGGCGCGUAGGCGGCGGCCAAAGUCAGGCGUGAAAUUCCCGGGCUCAACCUGGGGGCUGCGUUUGAUACUUGGUUGCUUGAGUGGGGAAGAGGGUCGUGGAAUUCCCAGUGUAGAGGUGAAAUUCGUAGAUAUUGGGAAGAACACCGGUGGCGAAGGCGGCGACCUGGUCCUUGACUGACGCUGAGGCGCGAAAGCGUGGGGAGCAAACAGGAUUAGAUACCCGCGUAGUCCCUGUCUCUUAUAA